RNAcentral lists this long non-coding RNA (603 nucleotides) under Amborella trichopoda. RNAcentral describes it as "long non-coding RNA (ATRI_LNC002240)". The record is from RNAcentral. Lineage: Eukaryota; Viridiplantae; Streptophyta; Magnoliopsida; Amborellales; Amborellaceae.
AAUUCCUAAAAAAAAGAGGGCACCAUCCCCCACCUCCCUACCUGAAUCAUAUGAAGGAUCUGGCGUUCGAAAAAUUGAACAAACAGAGGAAAUAUAGAAAAUAUCAUACAAGAAAACUAGGAAUACAGAGAAUUGAGCUGCAAAUGUUUAUUGGUGAUAUAGACCAUACCUGCACCACAAGAAAGAACUGCCGUAGAAAAACAAUAAGCAAAGGGUGGCGAGAAAGAAGCUCAAGGAAGAAAGUCUAGGAAAUCAAAAGGAGCUGAGCUCCAUGAUUUAUCAAUGGUAUUCAGGAAGCAAAGAAAACCACUAGGGUGCAAAUUGCAAAUGCAAGAUCUUAUCUAACAUGAGAUGUUUGGUUCGAGCUGAGCUCCAUGGGCUUCUAACAUGAGAUGUUUGGUUCAAGCCACGCAAAGACACUGGACCUAUCAGUCCAUCUAUUUGGUUGUUAAUUAAAGGAAGUCAGUGGUUUUCCUCGGUUUCUAGGGAUUUGCAUUUCAUGGUUCUCCUGUUUUAUUUUUCAAAGUUUUUAAAUGGAAUAUUAUUCCGUAUUUUUAUUUAAAGGAAGAGGAAGUAUUGAGUGUUGGAAAUUUUACUUAAAUC